GCGCCGUUGGCUCAGCCUGGAUAGAGCAACGGACUUCGGAUCCGUAGGUCGCAGGUUCGAAUCCUGCACGGCGCGCCA
Molecule: transfer RNA, 78 nt
Filed under: Myxococcota bacterium
Lineage: Bacteria; Pseudomonadati; Myxococcota
Description: tRNA-Arg
Rfam family: tRNA
About the family: Transfer RNA (tRNA) molecules are approximately 80 nucleotides in length. Their secondary structure includes four short double-helical elements and three loops (D, anti-codon, and T loops). Further hydrogen bonds mediate the characteristic L-shaped molecular structure. tRNAs have two regions of fundamental functional importance: the anti-codon, which is responsible for specific mRNA codon recognition, and the 3' end, to which the tRNAs corresponding amino acid is attached (by aminoacyl-tRNA synthetases). tRNAs cope with the degeneracy of the genetic code in two manners: having more than one tRNA (with a specific anti-codon) for a particular amino acid; and 'wobble' base-pairing, i.e. permitting non-standard base-pairing at the 3rd anti-codon position.
Source: RNAcentral